GGACUACACGGGUAUCUAAUCCUGUUUGAUCCCCACGCUUUCGGGUCUGAGUGUCAGUGUUGGGCCAGUAAGCCGCCUUCGCCUCCGGUAUUCCUCCUGAUAUCUACGUAUUUCACCACUACACCAGGAAUUCUACUUACCUCUCCCACACUCAAGCUUCGCAGUAUCAAAUGCACUUCCAAGGUUAAGCCCUGGGCUUUCACACCUGACUUACAAAGCCACCUACACCCGCUUUACGCCCAAUGAUUCCGAACAACGCUAGGGUCCCUCGUCUUACCGCGGCGGCUGGCAC
This 292-nucleotide ribosomal RNA is filed under the name uncultured bacterium. Its description in RNAcentral is "partial 16S ribosomal RNA". The record is from RNAcentral.